RNAcentral lists this ribosomal RNA (253 nucleotides) under uncultured bacterium. Its description in RNAcentral is "partial 16S ribosomal RNA". It matches the Rfam family "Bacterial small subunit ribosomal RNA", at positions 524 to 776 of the family's 1533-position model. The record is from RNAcentral.
UACGAAGGGGGCUAGCGUUGUUCGGAUUUACUGGGCGUAAAGCGCGUGUAGGCGGGUCUUUAAGUCAGGGGUGAAAUGCCAAGGCUCAACCUUGGAACUGCCUUUGAUACUGGAGACCUUGAGUCCGGGAGAGGUGAGUGGAAUUCCGAGUGUAGAGGUGAAAUUCGUAGAUAUUCGGAAGAACACCAGUGGCGAAGGCGGACUCACUGGACCGGCAUUGACGCUGAGGUGCGAAAGCGUGGGAGCAACAGGG